ACUACGGGUGGCUGCAGUGAGGAAUAUUGGUCAAUGGGCGGAAGCCUGAACCAGCCAAGUAGCGUGCAGGAUGACGGCCCUACGGGUUGUAAACUGCUUUUAUACGGGAAUAACGCGCCUUACGUGUAGGGCUUUGCAUGUACCGUAUGAAUAAGGACCGGCUAAUUCCGGGCCAGCAGCCGCGGUAAUACGGAAGGUCCGGGCGUUAUCCGGAUUUAUUGGGUUUAAAGGGAGCGUAGGCCGCAUGUCAAGCGUGCUGUGAAAUGUCCGGGCUCAACCCGGGCCUUGCAGCGCGAACUGGCGUGCUUGAGUCCGCGGAAAGCAGGCGGAAUUCGUCGUGUAGCGGUGAAAUGCUUAGAUAUGACGAAGAACCCCGAUUGCGAAGGCAGCUUGCUGCAGCGGAACUGACGCUGAUGCUCGAAAGCGCGGGUAUCGAACAGGAUUAGAUACCCCGGUAGUC
Molecule: ribosomal RNA, 460 nt
Filed under: uncultured bacterium
Lineage: Bacteria
Description: partial 16S ribosomal RNA
Rfam family: Bacterial small subunit ribosomal RNA
Source: RNAcentral